RNAcentral lists this ribosomal RNA (873 nucleotides) under uncultured bacterium. RNAcentral's name for it is "bacterial SSU rRNA". It matches the Rfam family "Bacterial small subunit ribosomal RNA", at positions 11 to 916 of the family's 1533-position model. The record is from RNAcentral.
GUUUGAUCCUGGCUCAGAACGAACGCUGGCGGCAUACCUAACACAUGCAAGUCGAACGGGGUCAUGGGACUUGCUCCAUGACUUAGUGGCGCCCGGGUGAGUAACGCGUGGGAACCUGCCCUGGAGUGGGGAAUAACGACGGGAAACUGUCGCUAAUACCGCAUACGUCCUUCGGGAGAAAGGCUUCGGCCGCUCAAGGAUGGUCCCGCGUCCGAUUAGCUAGUUGGUGAGGUAACGGCUCACCAAGGCGACGAUCGGUAGCUGGUCUGAGAGGAUGAUCAGCCACACUGGGACUGAGACACGGCCCAGACUCCUACGGGAGGCAGCAGUGGGGAAUAUUGGACAAUGGGGGAAACCCUGACGAAGCGACGCCGCGUGCAGGAUUAAGGCCUUCGGGUUGUAAAGCUCUUUCGGCGGGGACGAUGAUGACGGUACCCGCAUAAGAAGCCCCGGCUAACUUCGUGCCAGCAGCCGCGGUAAUACGAAGGGGGCUAGCGUUGUUCGGAAUUACUGGGCGUAAAGCGCGCGUAGGCGGCGAUCUUUGUCAGAGGUGAAAUCCCGAGGUUCAACUUCGGAAUUGCCUUUGAAACGGGAUUGCUUGAGUCCGAGAGAGGAUGGCGGAAUUCCUAGUGUAGAGGUGAAAUUCGUAGAUAUUAGGAAGAACACCGGUGGCGAAGGCGGCCAUCUGGCUCGGUACUGACGCUCAGGCGCGAAAGCGUGGGGAUCAAACAGGAUUAGAUACCCUGGUAGUCCACGCUGUAAACGAUGAGUGCUAGUUGUUGGGAAGUUUACUUCUCAGUGACGCAGCUAACGCGUUAAGCACUCCGCCUGGGGAGUACGGGCCGCAAGGUUAAAACUUAAAUGAAUUGACGG